Molecule: ribosomal RNA, 465 nt
Filed under: uncultured bacterium
Lineage: Bacteria
Description: partial 16S ribosomal RNA
Rfam family: Bacterial small subunit ribosomal RNA
Source: RNAcentral
CCUACGUGAGGCAGCAGUGGGGAAUAUUUCGCAAUGGGCGAAAGCCUGACGCAGCGACGCCGCGUGAGGGAUGAAGGUCUUCGGAUCGUAAACCUCUGUCAGCAGGGAAGAACGGUCACUGUGCUAAUCAGCAGUGAAUUGACGGUACCUGCAAAGGAAGCACCGGCUAACUCCGUGCCAGCAGCCGCGGUAAUACGGAGGGUGCGAGCGUUAAUCGGAAUUACUGGGCGUAAAGCGCUCGUAGGCGGUAUGUCAAGUCAAGGGUGAAAUCCCCGCGCUCAACGUGGGAACUGCCUUUGAAACUGGCAAACUGGAGUGUGUGAGAGGAUAGGGGAAUUCCAGGUGUAGGAGUGAAAUCCGUAGAUAUCUGGAGGAACAUCAGUGGCGAAGGCGACUAUCUGGCACAUAACUGACGCUGAGGAGCGAAAGCGUGGGUAGCAAACAGGAUUAGAUACCCGGGUAGUC